GAAGAUGAUGAUGUUUUAUCGGUCUUAUGUGCAUUUCUUAAUGCAAUAUGGGGAUUGAUUUAUUUAUCUGAUUC
Daucus carota subsp. sativus is the source of this 74-nucleotide non-coding RNA. The record is from Rfam. Lineage: Eukaryota; Viridiplantae; Streptophyta; Magnoliopsida; Apiales; Apiaceae.